CCAAAGGCUCUUUUAAGAGCUAUCCAUUACUUAGCUAUGUCAACUG
Molecule: non-coding RNA, 46 nt
Organism: Salmo salar (Atlantic salmon)
Lineage: Eukaryota; Metazoa; Chordata; Actinopteri; Salmoniformes; Salmonidae
Source: Rfam